GAUGAAGAACGUAGCGAAAUGCGAUAAGUAAUGUGAAUUGCAGAAUUCAGUGAAUCAUCGAAUCUUUGAACGCACAUUGCGCCCGCCAGCACUCUGGCGGGCAUGCCUGUUCGAGCGUCAUUUCAACCAUCAAGCCCCCAGGGGCUUGUGCUGGGGUCCUGCGGCUGCCCGCAGGCCCUGAAAACCAGUGGCGGGCUCGCUAGUCACACCGAGCGCAGUAGCACAUCUCGCUCAGGGCGUGCGGCGGGCUCCUGCCGUGAAACCCCCCACUGUAACCCCAAAGGUUGACCUCGGAUCAGGUAGGAAUACCCGCUGAACUUAAGCAUAUCAAUAAGCGGAGGA
This 342-nucleotide unclassified non-coding RNA is filed under the name soil metagenome. Its description in RNAcentral is "partial contains 5.8S ribosomal RNA, internal transcribed spacer 2, and large subunit ribosomal RNA". The stretch from base 1 to 120 matches the Rfam family "5.8S ribosomal RNA", at positions 35 to 154 of the family's 154-position model. The record is from RNAcentral.